GUCUUCUUGUUAUAUUUAGGAAGUCUGGCCUGCCCAGUGAAAAUAAUUUAACGGCCGCGGUAUACUGACCGUGCAAAGGUAGCAUAAUCAUUAGUCUUUUAAUAGAGGGCUGGUAUGAAGGGUUUAACGAGGUGUUGACUGUCUCAUUUAAUUUGAAUUUAGAAUUUAAUUUUUUAGUUAAAAAGCUGAAAUAUUAUUGGAAGACGAGAAGACCCUAUAGAGCUUUAUAUUUUUAUUAUUAAUUUAUUUUAGUUUAUUAUUAUUUAUUAUUAAUAGAAAAUAUUUUGUUGGGGUGACAAAAAUAUAUAAAUAACUUUUUCAUUUAUUUUACAUUGAUAUAUGAAUAUUAGAUCCAAUCUUAUUGAUUGAUAGAUUAAGUUACCUUAGGGAUAACAGCGUAAUCCCUCUCCAGAGUUCAUAUUUACAGAGGGGCUUGCGACCUCGAUGUUGGAUUAAGAUAAUAAUUAGGUGCAGCCGCUUAAUUAAUAGGUCUGUUCGACCUUUAAAUUCUU
Molecule: ribosomal RNA, 512 nt
Filed under: Anax panybeus
Lineage: Eukaryota; Metazoa; Arthropoda; Insecta; Odonata; Aeshnidae
Description: partial 16S ribosomal RNA
Rfam family: Archaeal large subunit ribosomal RNA
Source: RNAcentral